GCCGCGGCUGAACGCAAUGCGGCUGCGGAGCGCACCGAGCGAGAGAAACAGGAGGCGCGGGUGGCGGAGGUACAGCAAGAGCUCCAGGAUCUCGUGAAGAAACACGAGAGCCUGGAGCGUGACUCGAAGACUCGAGAGUCUGAGCUUGCAACGGCUCUUGAGAGUGCCAAAGCCGCUAAGGCCGAAGCCUACAAGGCCCUCCAGGAGAUAGAGGUGGUGAAGAAAAUAGCAAGCUCUCCAGGAGCGUUCGCGAAUCUUCCUCGCAGCGUGUCCGAUGCUGCCGCAUUCUAUCGGGCCGAGGAGGGGAGCUCGACGAAGAAGGUCUUCUGGUCUCAGUAUGCUGAGGCCGAACAUCCGGUGCCCCUUAGCGACCAGCUGAAGCAGCUGGUCGAGCUCCACAAGGCGGCCGAACAGGCCAUGAAGGGCCUCAUAGUUCGGCUGUGGCCUAAGGAGGCCAUGCCUGGGAGCUACUUCGGCCUGGUGCGGCGGCUGGUGGAUGCGUGCCCGUGGGUUGAAGUCAUCAAGCACUCCGCCUGUAUUGAAGGUGCCCGUCGGGCCCUUGCCCGCGCAAAGGUGCACUGGGGCAAGAUGGAUGCCCAGAAGCUUGUGACGGACCCACCACCAGAGGGCAAGGAGUAUCGUACGCCCGAGAUGUAUUAUAAGAGUGUGCUGAAGGGCGCCCGCACUAUUGCGAGUGAGUGCUCCAAAGAUGUAAUAUUUGAGUAG
This 726-nucleotide ribosomal RNA is filed under the name Triticum aestivum (bread wheat). Its description in RNAcentral is "partial small subunit ribosomal RNA". The record is from RNAcentral. Lineage: Eukaryota; Viridiplantae; Streptophyta; Magnoliopsida; Poales; Poaceae.